GAAUCUUAGACAAUGGGGGAAACCCUGAUCCAGCCAUGCCGCGUGUGUGACGAAGGCCUUAGGGUUGUAAAGCACUUUCGUCCGCGAAGAUAAUGACAGUAACGGAAGAAGAAGCUCCGGCUAAAUUCGUGCCAGCCGCCGCGGUAAUACGAAUGGAGCGAGCGUUGUUCGGAAUCACUGGGCGUAAAGCGUGCGCAGGCGGUUGUGAAAGUCAGAAGUGAAAUCCCAGGGCUUAACCUUGGAAUUGCUUUUGAAACUUCACGACUAGAGUACUGGAGGGGUUGGCGGAAUUUCGAGUGUAGCAGUGAAAUGCGUAGAUAUUCGAAGGAACACCGAUGGCGUAGGCAGCCAACUGGACAGUUACUGACGCUCAUGCACGAAAGUAUGGGGAGCAAACAGG
Molecule: ribosomal RNA, 400 nt
Filed under: uncultured bacterium
Lineage: Bacteria
Description: bacterial SSU rRNA
Rfam family: Bacterial small subunit ribosomal RNA
Source: RNAcentral